UACGUAGGGUGCAAGCGUUGUCCGGAAUUAUUGGGCGUAAAGAGCUCGUAGGCGGUCCGUCACGUCGGCUGUGAAAACCUGGGGCUCAACCCCGGGCCUGCAGCCGAUACGGGCGGACUAGAAUUCGGUAGGGGAGACUGGAAUUCCUGGUGUAGCGGUGAAAUGCGCAGAUAUCAGGAGGAGCACCGGUGGCGAAGGCGGGUCUCUGGGCCGAUAUUGACGCUGAGGAGCGAAAGCGUGGGGAGCGAACAGG
Molecule: ribosomal RNA, 253 nt
Filed under: uncultured bacterium
Lineage: Bacteria
Description: partial 16S ribosomal RNA
Rfam family: Bacterial small subunit ribosomal RNA
Source: RNAcentral